RNAcentral lists this ribosomal RNA (619 nucleotides) under uncultured Paracoccaceae bacterium. RNAcentral's name for it is "bacterial SSU rRNA". It matches the Rfam family "Bacterial small subunit ribosomal RNA", at positions 118 to 772 of the family's 1533-position model. Lineage: Bacteria; Pseudomonadati; Pseudomonadota; Alphaproteobacteria; Rhodobacterales; Paracoccaceae. The record is from RNAcentral.
UGGGAAUAUGCCCUUCUCUAAGGAAUAGCCUCGGGAAACUGAGAGUAAUACCUUAUACGCCCUUCGGGGGAAAGAUUURUCGGAGAAGGAUUAGCCCGCGUUAGAUUAGGUAGUUGGUGGGGUAAUGGCCUACCAAGCCUACGAUCUAUAGCUGGUUUGAGAGGAUGAUCAGCCACACUGGGACUGAGACACGGCCCAGACUCCUACGGGAGGCAGCAGUAGGGAAUCUUAGACAAUGGGGGAAACCCUGAUCUAGCCAUGCCGCGUGUGUGAUGAAGGCCUUAGGGUCGUAAAGCACUUUCGCCAGAGAUGAUAAUGACAGUAUCUGGUAAAGAAACCCCGGCUAACUCCGUGCCAGCAGCCGCGGUAAUACGGAGGGGGUUAGCGUUGUUCGGAAUUACUGGGCGUAAAGCGCACGUAGGCGGAUUAGUAAGUUAGAGGUGAAAUCCCAGGGCUCAACCCUGGAACUGCCUUUAAUACUGCUAGUCUUGAGUUCGAGAGAGGUAAGUGGAAUUCCGAGUGUAGAGGUGAAAUUCGUAGAUAUUCGGAGGAACACCAGUGGCGAAGGCGGCUUACUGGCUCGAUACUGACGCUGAGGUGCGAAAGUGUGGGGAGCAAA